GGAGAGGUGGCAGAGUGGUCUAAUGCGGCGGUCUUGAAAACCGCUGUCGCCACUGGCGACCGUAGGUUCGAAUCCUACCCUCUCCGCCA
This 89-nucleotide transfer RNA is filed under the name Candidatus Omnitrophota bacterium. RNAcentral's name for it is "Candidatus Omnitrophica bacterium (groundwater metagenome) tRNA-Ser". It matches the Rfam family "tRNA". From Rfam's summary of the family: Transfer RNA (tRNA) molecules are approximately 80 nucleotides in length. Their secondary structure includes four short double-helical elements and three loops (D, anti-codon, and T loops). Lineage: Bacteria; Pseudomonadati; Candidatus Omnitrophota. The record is from RNAcentral.